Long non-coding RNA from Ictalurus punctatus (channel catfish), 1957 nucleotides. NCBI's taxonomy places the organism in Eukaryota, Metazoa, Chordata, Actinopteri, Siluriformes, Ictaluridae. The record is from Ensembl.
CACAACAAAGCCCGGCUCGCACCAGCAGACAAUGUGGUAGUGGUAUUCAUCCCAUGCUAGACUGUUCAUUGCUAUUGAAAACAACACUUGCAGCACUCAGCAGUUAUUCUGCUCGUUGCCAGACAGUUGUUUACCCACAGCAGCGCCCACUCCUCAGCUACACAUUACCAUCAAUCUUUAACUUCGACCGCACCAAAAACACGAACCUCCUCGACUGCACGAGUUCCUGCUCACUCGGAUAGAAGAGGUGAUUACGCACUGUGAUUUCGUGAGGUUUCUUCAGGCUGCUGAGAUAAAGAUGUCUUUAAAGCGGAGACUUCUGUCCAUGCUGUUGUGUUGUGUGUAUUGCGUGGCCUCCAUCUUUUGCCUUCAACCGGACAGGAACAUCUGUCUUUCUCAGGGCAGCCGGGGUCUGGUGACGGUUGUCCAGCAGCUUUACCAGCGAGUCGUGAGGCUUCUUCGUACAGUGCUGUGAGAUUACAGAAGAGAUUCCUCUUCAUCUCGUUUUUUUUUCCAAACCAGACGGAAGACAUGACAGAAAGAAUCGUCUCACAGCCUGAGAUUUCCACAUCAUCUGAUCUGGCACGAUGAACCUUAAAAUAUGGGAGGUUUUUUUUUUAAAGGUCUUUCUGAAGCUCCAGAACUAUACAAUACUAUACAAUCGUUUUCUCACACCAUUGGGUUGUAUUUAAUGGAAUGAAAAGUGCUGUAAUGUAUAGUAAACAUGGAGAAAGUUCUGGGAAGUGAAGGUUGAAGUGUACAUUGAGGAUGAUGUUGGCUGAGGUCCUCUGACACGCCAGGGUAGAACAUUGUGUUGAUACAUCGCUGAGUGAGAACGUAGAAACGUACAAACACCCGAGUCGGAGAGAUCAGACGUUCUCGACCUUUUUGCACCCGGAGACGCCUUCCAGAGUAAAAGAGUAUCCACGGACCCCCUUAUGCUCACAGCAAGAACAUGGUUUUAAAAACACCAAGGUCACAUACGCACCAUUGAUGGAUACUGAUUUAUAAUCGAGCCAUUAGAGCUUUUCAUUCCAGAGCUUUCCACUCAGCCGGACAUAGAUUUGAAACGUCAGUUCCCGAUUUUAAUCAGAUUUGCAGUUUGAUUAGAUUUAACAUUAUUUAUACUCGUUUUAUGGUUAUUGAGUUUUGGAUUGACGCCUUUCACUUCACGUCUUACAACCAUGAUAAUGAACUAAUAAGCAUAAAAUCCUCAAUACAAGUUGGUAUUAUUCUCCAGUACAGUCGUGUGCCAAAAAAAGAAAAAAAAAGAAAAGAAAAAGCAAUAAAGUCACAGAACCCAUGAAUAUACAUACCUACUGGACAUUACAGACCGGGCUUUGAGAAGAUAUAAAUCUUUUAGAUAAGAUUUACAUUGAAGUCAUAAGGAGUCAGGUCUGGAGAAAAUUAUUUAAAAAGAGUCAGGUCUGGGGAAAAUUAUUUAAAAGCAAAAGAAUGCACUUUCCCCCCUUAAUUAUUGCUUUUAUGAAGAAUGACAAUUCUGCCUGACAAUGCAGAAAUGUGUACAUUAUCACCAAAAAUAUAUAUAAUGAACGUUUUGAUUCACUUGACUCUUGGAAUCUUGUCAUUUCCUGAUUGACACAUAUUGAUUUUAUCCUCUUUUUUAUUUAUUUAUUUAUUUUAUUGGAAUAAAUCUGCUAAGAAACGGAUUUCCUUUUCCGAUGCUGUAUUAUCUUCAGUACAAAAUCAUGUGUUCUAGUGGAGACUGAAGGCUCGCAUGUUGCUCUAUUAAACCCAAACACUGGCACUUAUGCAAAUUUGGAGCCCUUGAACCUUUAUUUUGCUCAUUCACUUGAUCCUGGUCAGGGUCACGGCGAAUCUGGAGCCCAUCCCAGGAGCAGUGUUUGUGGCACAGGAUACACCCUGGGUGAGAUAUACACCAGUCCAACACGUGGCACCAUGCACAAACUCUCACAUAUUCAUUCACACUCAGGCG